RNAcentral lists this ribosomal RNA (253 nucleotides) under uncultured bacterium. RNAcentral describes it as "partial 16S ribosomal RNA". It matches the Rfam family "Bacterial small subunit ribosomal RNA", at positions 524 to 776 of the family's 1533-position model. The record is from RNAcentral.
UACGAAGGGGGCUAGCGUUGUUCGGAAUUACUGGGCGUAAAGCGCACGUAGGCGGCUUUGUAAGUUAGAGGUGAAAGCCCGGGGCUCAACUCCGGAACUGCCUUUAAGACUGCAUCGCUUGAAUCCAGGAGAGGUGAGUGGAAUUCCGAGUGUAGAGGUGAAAUUCGUAGAUAUUCGGAAGAACACCAGUGGCGAAGGCGGCUCACUGGACUGGUAUUGACGCUGAGGUGCGAAAGCGUGGGGAGCAAACAGG